Molecule: non-coding RNA, 304 nt
Organism: Penaeus vannamei (Pacific white shrimp)
Lineage: Eukaryota; Metazoa; Arthropoda; Malacostraca; Decapoda; Penaeidae
Source: RefSeq, a predicted model, not a curated record
CCAGACAAUCGAGUGCCACGACGUCGCCGGCAACUGCUCCAAGGGCUGCGAAGGGGCGCUGAGUCCUCUCGAGGGCCGCUGUCACGACGGCUGCGUCUGCUGCGUCCAGAAUCCUUGCGAGACUCCGAUCAGCUGUGCCUUCCUUGACGGUCACUGCAACUCGUCAUGCGCGGAGGAUGAGGUUCCUCUGCCUGACCUCUGUCAUGCGGAAAACUGUUCUUGUUGUGUCAAAGAGGAGUGCAAGCAAAGCAAAUGCUGCAAUUAUGCCGGAGGGAGAUGCGACCGGGCUUGCAGCGAUGGAGAA